ACAACACUUUACAUGGUAUAGGGGCCAAAGAGUAGGCAGCUUGCUUUGCUUAGUGGGUACUUGAGAUAAGAUACGAAGCUUUCAUUGGCCACUGAGGUCUGCCACAGGAGGAAAGAAGAACGUUAUGCGAGUAUGCACUUUCUUGGGGUUGCCCUUAUCACAGGUUAUUAUCAGGAAUAGAGUGUUUAUUGUCAAUCAUUACCUUGAUUUCAUUUCAUCGCACAAAUCUAGUGGAAACUUUUUGUGAUGACUGUUUCAAGCUUCUGUAUCGCUCUCUAAAUUUUCCGUUAAAUCCUAGCCACAGUGAGUAGGUUCGCUGUAAGUAGGUUGAACUUGCAAGCAACAACGGACAGCUCGAGAGGACCGGGGGGUGCUUCUCGUGUCACGGGAGGAAGGGACGAAGAACCUCGCUCCCAAUCCAAUAUUGGACGUUGGGUUCCUCCAGCCUUAAGACGCGAUGCACUUGCCCAAGAAAGCCCAGAAAACAUCAUCUUCCGCAAGGUUAGAGGGAUUCUUAACAAGCUUACUCCUGAGAAAUUCCAUAAACUGAGCUCUGACUUGUUGCAAAUUGAACUAACAACAUCAGAAUAUGUGCUGAAGGGCAUCAUAUUUUGGUAAGAUACCAUACACCCUGUUUUUUCCGUGUAAAUGUUAAUAAAAUUUUGAUAGUUAAUUAAGUUAAAUUGAUUGUGUAAAACUUUUAGAAAUAUAGCUUCCAACUUUAUAAGAGUACAAAGUAAAUUAACAUAAUUUGGAC
RNAcentral lists this long non-coding RNA (757 nucleotides) under Bemisia tabaci. Its description in RNAcentral is "lncRNA ENSSSA3NGG009612". The record is from RNAcentral. Lineage: Eukaryota; Metazoa; Arthropoda; Insecta; Hemiptera; Aleyrodidae.